This is a long non-coding RNA of Pezoporus flaviventris, 1007 nucleotides long. RefSeq lists it as uncharacterized. The record is from RefSeq and is a predicted model, not a curated record. The transcript is spliced from 2 exons. Lineage: Eukaryota; Metazoa; Chordata; Aves; Psittaciformes; Psittacidae.
UUUAUUUACAAGAAGCCAAAACCAAGCCUUUGUGGGUAUACUUUCAUGUAAAUGUGUUUCUGCAGGUUGUGCAGCCUGCAGCUAUGGUUGAUCACUGUCUCCAGUAGAUCAUAGGAUAGAUAAAGAGUUUGUUGCCUAAGCAGUCAUGUCUAGAAAUGAGUACUGUUUUUUUCUUUCAUGGAUGUCCAGAUGUCUUAUUAGCAUCCUGGAAUCCAAAAGACCGAACUGAUUGAUUUAAAAGUGGAUAUGUCAGUCAAAAUAUAUGAAGAAUUAUGCUCUGUUUAAAUCAAUUUUGGAAGGAGACUAAGUACUUCUAUUAGAGAUUCAGGGGAACAAUGAUAGUUGCUUUUUAUAAAACACACUAUGAAAGAAGUAUUUCAUACAUACUCUGGAACCUUGUGUAAAAAACUACUGAUUAUUGAAUUACAGGGAAGUUAAAAGAGAUUGGUACCAGUAUAACUGAGGUCAGAAACUGGUCAUAAGAUGUUUUAAAACAUUGUAUUUAAUAAUCUUAGUUUAUUCAUGUGUUAUUUAUACCAGGAACUAUAUCUGCUUUUCUCUUUACAGAAUACCCAGAAGAGUAUGUCCUGGACUGUGGGGUUCAGAGCCAUUACUAUUCAGUGGCGUAGAGGCCUAUUAUCAAUUUAAGGCUGUUUUAGCAGCCGUACAGGCAUCAUGCCUUCAUCACAGGUGACAGAAUAUCAGUCUUAACACUGUGUCUGUGCUUCUAACCUCAGAAGUGCUGAGGGCUUUCCUAUACCUCGUUAACUGUGAAUAAUUUAAAGUUGCUGACAGCUAUCAUCAUUUAGAGGGAUGAACCCAGUUCACAUCAAAGCAAACAUUGGGAGAGUUCAAGGAAGCCUUUGCAGAUUCUCUGUGAAAGCUUAACUGGAUUUAAUGUACAGAAUGAGAGCAAAAAUUUUAUAUUUGAUAUUAGCUUGAUGUCUUUCUGUUGCAACUAUGCAAAAGCUUUUUGGUAUCAAAACAUAAAUAAACUUUUAAUUAUA